Molecule: ribosomal RNA, 407 nt
Filed under: uncultured bacterium
Lineage: Bacteria
Description: partial 16S ribosomal RNA
Rfam family: Bacterial small subunit ribosomal RNA
Source: RNAcentral
AUUGAACGCUGGCGGCAGGCCUAACACAUGCAAGUCGAGCGAAGCGGCGGACGGGUGAGUAAUGCCUAGUAAUCUGCCUGGUGGUGGGGGAUAACGUCAGGAAACGGGCGCUAAUACCGCAUACUAUCAGAUGAGCCUAGGGCGGAUUAGCUAGUGUGUGGGGUAAAGGCCUACCAAGGCGCCGAUCCGUAACUGGUCUGCGAGGACGAUCCGUCACACUGGAACUGAGACACGGUCCAGACUCCUACGGGAGGCAGCAGUGGGGAAUAUUGGACAAUGGGCGAAAGCCGGAUCCAGCCAUGCCGCGUGUGUGAAGAAGUUCUUCGGAUUGUAAAGCACUGUAAGUUGGGAGGCGGUACCAACAGAAUAAGCACCGGCUAACUUCGUGCCAGCAGCCGCGGUAAUAC